GUCAUUUUUUAGCUCACCUGGCCCAAAGGGCCAAGUGAGUUUUUCCCAUCACUUUGCGUCCGGUGUCGUUGUCGUCCGUCGUCGUUAACUUUUACAAAAAUCUUCUCCUCUGAAACUGCUGGGCCAAAUUAAACCAAACUUGGCCACAAUCAUCAUUGGGGUUUCUAGUUUAAAAAAUGUGUGGCGUGACCCCGCCAAUUAACCAAGAUGGCCGCCAUGGCUAAAAAUUGAACAUAGGGGUAAAAUGCAGUUUUUGGCUUAUAACUCAAAAACCAAAGCAUUUAGAGCAAAUCUGACAUGGGGUAAAAUUGUCUAUCAGGUCAACAUCUAUCUGCCUUGAAAUUUUCAGAUGAAUCAGACAACCCGUUGUUGGGUUGCUGCCCCUGAAUAUGUAAUUUUAAGGAAAUUUUGAUGUUUUUGGUUAUUAUCUUGAAUAUUAUUAUAGAUAAAGAUAAACUGUAAACAGCAAUAAUGUUCAGCAAAGUAAGAUUUACAAAUAAGUCAACAUGACCAUAAUGGUCAGUUGACCCCUUUAGGAGUUAUUGCCCUUUAUAGUCAAUUUUUAACCAUUUUUCGUAAAUCUUAGUAAUCUAUUACAAAAAUCUUCUCCUCUGAAACUUCAUGGCCAAAUUAAUCCAAACUUGGCCACAAUCAUUUUGGGGUAUCUAGUUUAACAAAUGUGUGGUGUGACCCGGCCAACCCAAACCAAGAUGGCUGCCAUGGCUAAAAAUAGAACAUAGGGGUGAAAUGUAGAUUUUGGCUUAUAACUCUGAAACCAAAGCAUUUAGAGCAAAUCUGACAUGGGGUAAAAUUGUUCAUCAAGUGAAAAUCUAUCAGCCCUGAAACUUUCAAAUGAAUAGGACAACUGGUUAUUGGAUUGCUGCCCCGAAAAAAGUAAUUUGAAGGAAAUUUUGCAGAUUUUGGUUAUUAUCUUGAAGAUUAUUAUAGAAAGAGAUAAACUGUAAACAGCAAUAAUGUUCAGCAAAGUAAGAUCUACAAAUAAGUCAACAUGAAAAUUAUCAGUUGACCCCUUAAGGAGUGAUUGCCCUUUAUAGUCAUUUUGACGCAAUUUUUUCGUAAAUUUUUGUAAUCUUUUACAAAAUCUUCUCCUCUGAAACUCCUGGGCCAAAUUUAACCAACUUGGCCAAUCAUUAUUGGGAUUUAGUUUAAAAAUUGUGUGGCGUGACCUGUCCAACCAACCAAGAUGGCUGCCAUGGCUAAAAAUAGAACAUAGAGGGGAAAUGUAGAUUUUGGCUUAUAUCUCUGAAACUAAAGCAUUUAGAGCAAAUCUGAAUAGAUAAAAUUGUUUAUCAGGUCAAGAUCUAUCUGCCCUGAAAUUUUCAGACAAAUCAGACAACCUGUUGUUGGGUUGCUGCCCCAAAUUAGUAUUUUAAGGAAAUUUUGCAGAUUUUGGUUAUUAUCUUGAAUAUUAUUAUAGAUAGAGAUAAACUGUAAACAGCAAUAAUGUUCAGCAAAGUAAGAUUUACAAAUAAGUCAACAUGACCGAAAUGGUCAAUUGACCCCCUAAGGAGUUAUUGUCCUUUAUAGUCAAUUUUCAACAAUUUUUAUAAAAUUUGUAAAUUUUUACUAACAUUUUCCACUGAAACUACUGGGCCAAGUUCAUUAUAGGUAGAGAUAAUUGUAAGCAGCAAGGAUGUUCAGUAAAGUAAGAUGUACAAACACAUCACCAUCACCCAAAAUACAAUUUUGUCAUGAAUCCAUCUGCUUUCUUUGUUUAAUAGUCACAUAGACCAAGGUGA
Molecule: long non-coding RNA, 1760 nt
Filed under: Mytilus galloprovincialis (Mediterranean mussel)
Lineage: Eukaryota; Metazoa; Mollusca; Bivalvia; Mytilida; Mytilidae
Source: RNAcentral